GAUCCUGGCUCAGGAUGAACGCUGGCGGCGUGCCUAACACAUGCAAGUCGAACGGAGAUUACGGACGGAAGUUUUCGGAUGGAAGACUGUAAUUCUUAGUGGCGGACGGGUGAGUAACGCGUGGGCAACCUGCCCUAUACAGGGGGAUAGCAGCUGGAAACGGCUGGUAAGACCGCAUAAGUCGGUUAAAUCGCAUGAUUUGAUCGGGAAAUGAGCAAUCAGGUAUAGGAUGGGCCCGCGUCCGAUUAG
RNAcentral lists this ribosomal RNA (249 nucleotides) under uncultured bacterium. RNAcentral's name for it is "partial 16S ribosomal RNA". It matches the Rfam family "Bacterial small subunit ribosomal RNA", at positions 15 to 244 of the family's 1533-position model. The record is from RNAcentral.